CCUACGGGAGGUAGCAGUGGGGAAUAUUGCACAAUGGGCGAAAGCCUGAUGCAGCAACGCCGCGUGAAGGAAGAAGGGUUUCGGCUCGUAAACUUCUAUCAACAGGGACGAAAGAAAUGACGGUACCGGAAUAAGAAGCCAAGGCGAACUAAGGGCCAGAAGCCGCGUUAAAACUUAGGGGGCAAGCGUUAUCCGGAAUUACUGGUUGUAAAGGGUGAGUAGGCGGCAGGGUAAGACAGCUGGGAAAGCCUUGGGCUUACCCCGAGGAUUGCAUUUGGAACUCUCAUGCUAGAUUACAGGAGAGGAAUGCGGCUUUCCUAUUGUAGCGGUUACAUUCUUAGAUCUUAUGACUAACCCCAGUGUCGACUGCGGCUUUCUGGACU
RNAcentral lists this ribosomal RNA (383 nucleotides) under uncultured bacterium. RNAcentral describes it as "partial 16S ribosomal RNA". It matches the Rfam family "Bacterial small subunit ribosomal RNA", at positions 338 to 735 of the family's 1533-position model. The record is from RNAcentral.